AAAUUGAAGAGUUUGAUCAUGGCUCAGAUUGAACGCUGGCGGCAGGCCUAACACAUGCAAGUCGAACGGUAACAGGAAGCAGCUUGCUGCUUUGCUGACGAGUGGCGGACGGGUGAGUAAUGUCUGGGAAACUGCCUGAUGGAGGGGGAUAACUACUGGAAACGGUGGCUAAUACCGCAUAACGUCGCAAGACCAAAGAGGGGGACCUUCGGGCCUCUUGCCAUCAGAUGUGCCCAGAUGGGAUUAGCUUGUUGGUGAGGUAACGGCUCACCAAGGCGACGAUCCCUAGCUGGUCUGAGAGGA
RNAcentral lists this ribosomal RNA (303 nucleotides) under Salmonella enterica. Its description in RNAcentral is "partial 16S ribosomal RNA". It matches the Rfam family "Bacterial small subunit ribosomal RNA", at positions 1 to 300 of the family's 1533-position model. Lineage: Bacteria; Pseudomonadati; Pseudomonadota; Gammaproteobacteria; Enterobacterales; Enterobacteriaceae. The record is from RNAcentral.